Molecule: ribosomal RNA, 243 nt
Filed under: uncultured Thauera sp.
Lineage: Bacteria; Pseudomonadati; Pseudomonadota; Betaproteobacteria; Rhodocyclales; Zoogloeaceae
Description: partial 16S ribosomal RNA
Rfam family: Bacterial small subunit ribosomal RNA
Source: RNAcentral
AGUGAGACUGCCGGUGACAAACCGGGAGGAAGGUGGGGGAUGACGUCAAGUCCUCAUGGCCCUUAUGGGUAGGGCUUCACACGUCAUACAAUGGUCGGUACAGAGGGUUGCCAAGCCGCGAGGUGGAGCCAAUCCCUUAAAGCCGAUCGUAGUCCGGAUCGUAGUCUGCAACUCGACUACGUGAAGUCGGAAUCGCUAGUAAUCGCAGAUCAGCAUGCUGCGGUGAAUACGUUCCCGGGUCUU